Molecule: long non-coding RNA, 360 nt
Organism: Penaeus monodon (black tiger shrimp)
Lineage: Eukaryota; Metazoa; Arthropoda; Malacostraca; Decapoda; Penaeidae
Exons: 3
Source: RefSeq, a predicted model, not a curated record
AAGUUAAAGUUUCAGUUUCAUAGUUUUAUAAGAUUUAGUAUUUGUAAGUUGUUAUUUAUUAAAAUAUGAAAUGGAGUUAUCAUACGAUCUGAAAUUAAACGCUGUUUCAGGAUGGACCGGUCGUUAUCUUCAUUACCAUGGAAAGCAAUGAACAGCAUGGAACCUGGAGGAAGAUUGCCAGUUGCCUCGGGGUUUGGCAUUUGGACACUCGCUCGCAUCACAGAGGCCUCUUCCGUCUCUCGUACUAUGAAACAGAACUUUUUAUUAUAGGUUACCCCUUCAGUGACUAUAGUUACCUGAAGCCAUGGUGGAUACAUGUCAUGCAGGAAGCGGACGAGAAAGAAGAAAACCUAAUUAUGA